Molecule: unclassified non-coding RNA, 136 nt
Filed under: uncultured Ascomycota
Lineage: Eukaryota; Fungi; Ascomycota
Description: sequence contains ITS1
Source: RNAcentral
CCGUGGGGAUUCGUCCCCAUUGAGAUAGCACCCUUUGUUUAUGAGUACCGUUUGUUUCCUCGGUGGGCUUGCCUGCCGCUAGGACCCCCCAAAAACCUUUGCAGUAGCAGUAUCUUCAGUUAAAAACAAAAUAUUA